This 199-nucleotide ribosomal RNA is filed under the name uncultured bacterium. RNAcentral's name for it is "partial 16S ribosomal RNA". It matches the Rfam family "Bacterial small subunit ribosomal RNA", at positions 574 to 772 of the family's 1533-position model. The record is from RNAcentral.
GGCGGACUUGUAAGGCAGUUGUGAAAUACUGCGGCGCAACCGUCGAACUGCAGUUGAAACUGGAAGUCUUGAGUGCACGCAGGGAUGUUGGAAUUCAUGGUGUAGCGGUGAAAUGCUCAGAUAUCAUGAAGAACUCCGAUCGCGAAGGCAGAUGUCCGGAGUGCAACUGACGCUGAGGCUCGAAAGUGCGGGUAUCAAA